CCUACGGGAGGCAGCAGUGGGGAAGUAUUGCGCAAUGGGCGAAAGCCUGACGCAGCGACGCAGCGUGAGGGAUGAAGGCCUUCGGGUUGUAAACCUCUUUCAGCGGGGACGAAGCGAAAGUGACGGUACCCGCAGAAGAAGCACCGGCUAACUACGUGCCAGCAGCCGCGGUAAUACGUAGGGUGCAAGCAUUGUCCGGAUUUAUUGGGCGUAAAGAGCUCGUAGGCGGCUUGUCACGUCGGGUGUGAAAACUUGGGGCUCAACCCCAAGCCUGCAACUCGAUACGGGCUAGCUAGAGUGUUGCAGGGGAGACUGGAAUUCCUGGUGUAGCGGUGAAAUGCGCAGAUAUCAGGAGGAACACCGGUGGCGAAGGCGGGUCUCUGGGCAACUACUGACGCUGAGGAGCGAAAGCGUAGGGGAGCGAACAGGAUUAGAUACCCUGGUAGUCCACGCCGUAAACGGUGGGCGCUAGGUGUGGGGAACCUUCCACGUUCUCUGUGCCGCNGCUACGACAUAAGUACGCCCGCCCGUCGGGAGGUACGGCCGCGAAGACGUAAACGUUAAAGUAAGUAAGUAGUAGUUGAGUAGAGCGACGACGACGACGACGGAGGAGGAG
Molecule: ribosomal RNA, 616 nt
Filed under: uncultured bacterium
Lineage: Bacteria
Description: bacterial SSU rRNA
Rfam family: Bacterial small subunit ribosomal RNA (bases 1-528)
Source: RNAcentral